GGGAAAAUCAAGCGUUUCAACAUGGGGCCAUAGUCUAAAGGCAGCAGGCGGGCAACCAGGCUCCUCCAAUGCACACUGGCGAGAUUGGUCUUGUCACAUCUCUCCCCUUUUCCAAACAGACUAACAGGGUAUCUGACCUCUUGCCGGUCAGUGCCCUGGUUAGUCCAGCAGCCCACCCACAAAACACAAUCAGCAGUACAGCCCACCCACAAUAACUGGUUAGUACACCUGGGUAGAGGAGAAACUUGUCCAUGUCCAGGUGCCUCACCACGGCUGUGCAGGGUACUGGUAGGCUGCCUUGGUGGGUUGCUGAGUGGGCAGAGACCAGCGGUACUCUGCCCUGGUGCCAGUGCUACCACGGUAGUAGCCUGGUUGGAGCCUGGUUGUUGGAGGGGGAGACCGACUGUCUCCCCUUUAGAUACACAGCUCUGCUGCUGGAGGGGGAGACCGACUGUCUCCC
Molecule: non-coding RNA, 460 nt
Organism: Pelobates cultripes (western spadefoot toad)
Lineage: Eukaryota; Metazoa; Chordata; Amphibia; Anura; Pelobatidae
Source: the annotation of a GenBank genome assembly